This 467-nucleotide ribosomal RNA is filed under the name uncultured bacterium. RNAcentral's name for it is "partial 16S ribosomal RNA". It matches the Rfam family "Bacterial small subunit ribosomal RNA", at positions 28 to 507 of the family's 1533-position model. The record is from RNAcentral.
GACGAACGCUGGCGGCGUGCUUAACACAUGCAAGUCGAACGGAAAGGCCUCUUUCGGGGGGUACUCGAGUGGCGAACGGGUGAGUAACACGUGAGUAACCUGCCCUUGACUUUGGGAUAACUUCAGGAAACUGGGGCUAAUACCGGAUAGGAGCUCCUGCUGCAUGGUUGGGGUUGGAAAGUUUCGGAGGUUGGGGAUGGACUCGCGGCGUAUCAGCUUGUUGGUGGAGUAGUGGCUUACCAAGGCUUUGACGGGUAGCCGGCCUGAGAGGGUGAGCGGCCGCAUUGCGACUAAGACACGGACAAGAGCCCAGCGGGUGGAAGGGGAGCAGAAUAAUGCACGAUGAGUGGAGGCCCGAUGCAGAAACACCGUGUACUGUAAGACGGCCUUCGGGUUGUAACCCGAUUUCGCUCCUGACGAAGCUUUGUGUGACGGUAGUGAGUAAAGAAGCACCGGCUAACUACGUG